Molecule: ribosomal RNA, 268 nt
Filed under: uncultured bacterium
Lineage: Bacteria
Description: partial 16S ribosomal RNA
Rfam family: Bacterial small subunit ribosomal RNA
Source: RNAcentral
ACCCUUGGCUUAACCAAGGAAGGGCAUUUGAAACUGCUUGGCUUGAGUACGGGAGGGGGAAGCGGAAUUCCCGGUGUAGAGGUGAAAUUCGUAGAUAUCGGGAGGAACACCAGUGGCGAAGGCGGCCACCUGGACCUGUACUGACGCUGAGACGCGAAAGCGUGGGGAGCAAACAGGAUUAGAUACCCUGGUAGUCCACGCCUUAAACUUUGGGCACUAGGUGUUGUGGGUAUUGACCCCUGCAGUGCCAAGGGCGAAUUCCACAUUG